AGCGAACGCUGGCGGAAAGCAUAAAACAUGCAAGUAGAACGAACCAAUAGGAAUAAGUGGAGGAAAGAAAAGAAAAACGAAAAAAAGAACAUAACAAAAAAGAAAAAAACAGGGACAAUUGUGCUAAUAUCGAAUGUGCCCUUCGGGGGAAAGAUUAAUCGCCUUUAGAGCGGCCCGCGUCUGUUUAGCUAGUUGGUUGAGGUAAUGGCGCACCAAGGCGACGAUCAGUAGCUGGUCUGAGAGGAUGAUCAGCCACAUUGGGACUGAGACACGGCCCAAACUCCUACGGGAGGCAGCAGUGGGGAAUCUUGCGCAAUGGGCGAAAGCCUGACGCAGCCAUGCCGCGUGAAUGAUGAAGGUCUUAGGAUUGUAAAAUUCUUUCACCGGGGACGAUAAUGACGGUACCCGGAGAAGAAGCCCCGGCUAACUUCGUG
This 434-nucleotide ribosomal RNA is filed under the name uncultured bacterium. Its description in RNAcentral is "partial 16S ribosomal RNA". It matches the Rfam family "Bacterial small subunit ribosomal RNA", at positions 29 to 507 of the family's 1533-position model. The record is from RNAcentral.